GCCAGUGUAGUGUAGUGGUUUGAGUGUUAAACUAUAACUCUGGAGAUCAGGGUUCAAAUCCUUGCUUGGCCA
Phrynosoma platyrhinos (Desert horned lizard) is the source of this 72-nucleotide non-coding RNA. The record is from the annotation of a GenBank genome assembly. NCBI's taxonomy places the organism in Eukaryota, Metazoa, Chordata, Lepidosauria, Squamata, Phrynosomatidae.